Molecule: ribosomal RNA, 634 nt
Filed under: uncultured bacterium
Lineage: Bacteria
Description: bacterial SSU rRNA
Rfam family: Bacterial small subunit ribosomal RNA (bases 1-536)
Source: RNAcentral
CCUACGGGAGGCAGCAGUGAGGAAUAUUGGACAAUGGGUGCAAGCCUGAUCCAGCCAUCCCGCGUGAAGGACUAAGGCCCUAUGGGUUGUAAACUUCUUUUAUACAGGGAUAAACCUACUUACGUGUAAGUAGCUGAAGGUACUGUAUGAAUAAGCACCGGCUAACUCCGUGCCAGCAGCCGCGGUAAUACGGAGGGUGCAAGCGUUAUCCGGAUUUAUUGGGUUUAAAGGGUCCGUAGGCGGAUCCGUAAGUCAGUGGUGAAAUCUCAUAGCUUAACUAUGAAACUGCCAUUGAUACUGCGGGUCUUGAGUGAGAUUGAGGUAGCUGGAAUAAGUAGUGUAGCGGUGAAAUGCAUAGAUAUUACUUAGAACACCAAUUGCGAAGGCAGGUUACCAAGUCUUAACUGACGCUGAUGGACGAAAGCGUGGGGAACGAACAGGAUUAGAUACCCUGGUAGUCCACGCCGUAAACGAUGCUAACUCGUUUUGGGGCCUUGCGCUUCUGAGACUAGACGAAGUAGAUAAGUUAGCCGACCGUCGGGUAGGUACGUUCGUCGAGAAGUAAGUAACGUACUUAAGUUAGUAAGUUAGUUACGGUCGUUGAGAGUGCGACGGACGACGACGAGGGAGGAGG